CCUACGGGAGGCAGCAGUAAGGAAUAUUGGUCAAUGGACGAAAGUCUGAACCAGCCAUGCCGCGUGAAGGAUGAAGGCCCUCUGGGUUGUAAACUUCUUUUAUCUGGGACGAAAAAAGGGGAUUCUUCCUCACUUGACGGUACCAGAGGAAUAAGCACCGGCUAACUCCGUGCCAGCAGCCGCGGUAAUACGGAGGGUGCAAGCGUUAUCCGGAUUUACUGGGUUUAAAGGGUGCGUAGGUGGGUAAGUAAGUCAGUGGUGAAAUCUUCGAGCUUAACCCGGAAACUGCCAUUGAUACUAUUUAUCUUGAAUACUUUGGAGGUAAGCGGAAUAUGUCAUGUAGCGGUGAAAUGCUUAGAUAUGACAUAGAACACCAAUUGCGAAGGCAGCUUACUACACAGUCAUUGACACUGAGGCACGAAAGCGUGGGGAUCAAACAGGAUUAGAUACCCUGGUAGUCCACGCCCUAAACGAUGGAUACUCGACAUCAGCGAUACACUGUUGGUGUCUGAGCGAAAGCAUUAAGUAUCCCACCUGGAAGUACGAUCGCAAGAUUGAAACUCAAAUGAGUAGAGCGNGAGAGNGACGACGACGACGACGAGGGAGGAGG
RNAcentral lists this ribosomal RNA (610 nucleotides) under uncultured bacterium. RNAcentral describes it as "bacterial SSU rRNA". It matches the Rfam family "Bacterial small subunit ribosomal RNA", at positions 338 to 951 of the family's 1533-position model. The record is from RNAcentral.